GAUUGCGGUUAAUAGGGUAGGAUGAGAACCGUAGGUUCGACCAAAUCGCCGGGAGCGAUUUGGAACGCUGCGCGCAGCGUGGCGGCCCGUAGGGCGGAGGGCAGGAUGCCCAGAGUAAUCCUACUCUCUCCACCA
Regulatory RNA element from Nitrococcus mobilis Nb-231, 135 nucleotides. It matches the Rfam family "RtT RNA". From Rfam's summary of the family: This family represents a bacterial cis-regulatory element known as RtT RNA. The record is from Rfam. NCBI's taxonomy places the organism in Bacteria, Pseudomonadati, Pseudomonadota, Gammaproteobacteria, Chromatiales, Ectothiorhodospiraceae.